UACGAAGGGGGCUAGCGUUGUUCGGAAUUCCUGGGCGUAAAGCGCGCGCAGGCGGUCCUUCAAGUCAGAGGUGAAAGCCCAGAGCUCAACUCUGGAACGGCCUUUGAGACUAGAGGACUUGGGUGCGGGAGAGGUGAGUGGAAUUCCGAGUGUAGAGGUGAAAUUCGUAGAUAUUCGGAAGAACACCAGUGGCGAAGGCGGCUCACUGGCCCGUUACCGACGCUCAGGCGCGACAGCGUGGGGAGCAAACAGG
This 253-nucleotide ribosomal RNA is filed under the name uncultured bacterium. RNAcentral's name for it is "partial 16S ribosomal RNA". It matches the Rfam family "Bacterial small subunit ribosomal RNA", at positions 524 to 776 of the family's 1533-position model. The record is from RNAcentral.